CAGCGAGGUUCGAUUGAGCAUUCUUCUUCGUCUAUUUCGUAGCUACCUUCGGAGCGUGUAUCUGGGAUUCUCGAUAAAACGGCGAAAUUCCUUCAACGCAUGGAUGGCGGAAAGUGUCGGAUCCGAUUCUAAUUGCGAACGUCGUGACGUAACGCGUUGCUAAUGGAAUGCUUCCGUGGAAGCUUCUCGGAGCAAACAGUAUCGGUAUCAAGCGGUGAGAUCGAUAUCUACGACAGGACACCUGACAGUGCUGAUGAAACAUUACUCUGUGGAAGCUGCGUCUCGAUUAUACUUCGAGAAGCGCGUGGACUAUCGUCGAGUUUAGCACGUCUUGCGGAAGUACUUGACAAUCGUGGAAAUGGAGUUUCGAAACUUGCAAUGUUCGUUAAACUUACGAGCGAUACUGCGAAAGAUGUCUCGGCUUAUGACUUGGUAAAUAACAGUAUGCGUACGUGUUCGCAACGUGGUCGUCGUUUUAUUACACCGUUGUAGGAGCUCAAAACUUCAGCGCACAUCGCGCCGUACCUUCUUUCCUUCCUUUUCUUCUUCUUUUUUUUUCAAGAAUCUCCAUUUCGCAAAGUUCGCGAAAUCCCUAUCAAACUUGGAAGUUUGUUUACUUCGAGGGCGCGCUAUCUGAACUAAGACCUCCGUACGCAUUUCCAGAUAGUUGAUGUUACUGUUGCAGUUUACCACAGCUACAGUGCUCUUGUUACACUUCAAUGAAGUUAAUGCCGUUCGCCGAUGCAAGCUGCUUGGUAGGCUAAGGUGGUUGCCGAGUUACGCCACGAUGUUCUAUGACGAUAUACAUGUAAUUCUAAUUGAUUGUGAAAUGUAAUUGCCGCAUAAGCGUUAAAAGAUUCAUGCGCAAACACGACAUGUGCAAGUCGACUGUACAAGACAUCUCAAGACAAUUAGCAAGACCGCAACAGGAUAUUCUUAAUCAAGGUUAUCUUCCGAAAAUGUGCAGCUUGAAAAUAAUAGAGAUAGAUGAAAUACAAGUCCGUAUAUUCGAUUUUUCUCGUAACACGAACAAAAAAUUAGCCGCACUAUAUAGCUAAUAUAUAGCUGUAGCAGCCAAGAUGUAUCAAUCAAAUAGGCUUAUGUUAUUGCUAAUAAAGCUAAAUUUAUUAGCUAUUUGAA
Long non-coding RNA from Odontomachus brunneus, 1140 nucleotides. RefSeq lists it as uncharacterized. The transcript is spliced from 3 exons. Lineage: Eukaryota; Metazoa; Arthropoda; Insecta; Hymenoptera; Formicidae. The record is from RefSeq and is a predicted model, not a curated record.